CCUACGGGAGGCAGCAGUGGGGAAUCUUUGGCAAUGGGCGCAAGCCUGACCCAGCAACGCCGCGUGAAGGCAGAAGGCCCUCGGGUUGUAAACUUCUUUUAUUCGGGACGAAACAAAUGACGGUACCGAAUGAAUAAGCCACGGCUCAAUUCGUGCUAGCAGCCGCGGUAAUACGUAGGUGGCAAGCGUUAUCCGGAUUUACUGGGUGUAAAGGGGGUGUAGGCGGGAGAGCAAGUCAGGUGGGAAAUUACAGUGCUAAACCCUGGAACUGCGUUUGAAACUGUUCUGCUUGAGUGAUGGAGAGGCAGGCGGAAUUCCGUGUGUAGCGGUGAAAUGCGGAGAUAUACGGAGGAACACCAGUGGCGAAGGCGGCCUGCUGGACAUUAACUGACGCUGAGGCGCGAAAGCGUGGGGAGCAAACAGGAUUAGAUACCCGAGUAGUC
RNAcentral lists this ribosomal RNA (443 nucleotides) under uncultured bacterium. RNAcentral's name for it is "partial 16S ribosomal RNA". It matches the Rfam family "Bacterial small subunit ribosomal RNA", at positions 338 to 795 of the family's 1533-position model. The record is from RNAcentral.